AACGCGAAGAACCUUACCAGGGUUUGACAUCCUGCGACCGCCUCCGAAAAGAGGUUUCCCCGCAAGGGGCGCAGAGACAGGUGCUGCAUGGCUGUCGUCAGCUCGUGUCGUGAGAUGUUGGGUUAAGUCCCGCAACGAGCGCAACCCUCGCCUUUAGUUGCCAUCAUUCAGUUGGGCACUCUAGAGGGACCGCCGGCGGCAAGCCGGAGGAAGGUGGGGAUGAAGUCAAGUCAUCAUGGCCCUUACACCCUGGGCUACACACGUGCUACAAUGGCGGUGACAGUGGGCAGCCAGCUCGCGAGAGUGAGCUAAUCCCAAAAAACCGUCCCAGUUCAGAUUGCACUCUGCAACUCGAGUGCAUGAAGGUGGAAUCGCUAGUAAUCGCAGAACAGCAGGCUGCGGUGAAUACGUUCCCGGGCCUUGUACACACCGAGUAUA
RNAcentral lists this ribosomal RNA (438 nucleotides) under uncultured bacterium. RNAcentral's name for it is "bacterial SSU rRNA". It matches the Rfam family "Bacterial small subunit ribosomal RNA", at positions 958 to 1398 of the family's 1533-position model. The record is from RNAcentral.